Molecule: ribosomal RNA, 252 nt
Filed under: uncultured bacterium
Lineage: Bacteria
Description: partial 16S ribosomal RNA
Rfam family: Bacterial small subunit ribosomal RNA
Source: RNAcentral
GAUCCUGGCUCAGGAUGAACGCUAGCGACAGGCUUAACACAUGCAAGUCGGAGGGGCAGCGAGGGGAGUGGCAACACUUCUGUCGGCGACCGGCGCACGGGUGAGUAACGCGUAUGCAACCUGCCCUUCACAGGGGGAUAACCGGGGAGAAAUUCCGACUAAUACCGCAUACGUCCUUUGGGGGCAUCCCCUGGGGAUGAAAGAGUUAUCGGUGAAGGAUGGGCAUGCGUUGAUAUUAGGUAGUUGGCGGGG